UAUUAGUGUUGUCAACGGUUAACCGGUUAACCGGUUAAUCGGUCGAACGACCGAAUACCGAAUACCAAAAACGCUAACCGGUUAACCGGACUUUUUUUCAAUUUCGAUAGAUUUGAUAUAAAUUUGUGUUGAAAAUCAAAUCAUUAAAUAGUUAUGUUUUAUUUAAAAAUUGUCAUCGUGGUAAUUAGUUAGUCCAGUAUAUUGAUUGCUAUUGUUAAUCCUAAAAACAUAAAAUUAAUUAGAGUUCGGGGCAGGAUCUUUAAGAAACAUAAUUAGUAAACAUGUUUUUUUAACAGUAACUUUAAAUCAGUAAUGAGAUUUAAUUUUACUAAUUACUUCAUUAUUUCGUUUUCGAUCUAAUAUUGUGUAAUCCUACAUUUAAAUGUGCAACCUCCGUAGUGCAAGGGUUAGUCUUACUUUAAAUUCAAAAAUUGUGAAAUGCAAACCAAUGUGAAUGUACUCAAUGUAUACGUGAAAGUACGAGUAACAUGCUUAAAGAAAAAAGCAAACACAAUGAAGAAACAGGUCGUAAAGCAUGUACAAUGACCUAUAGUUGUUAAUUUCUGUGUCAUUUUGGUCUCUUGUGAAGGAUUGUCUCAUUUGCAAUCAUA
RNAcentral lists this long non-coding RNA (611 nucleotides) under Mytilus galloprovincialis (Mediterranean mussel). Lineage: Eukaryota; Metazoa; Mollusca; Bivalvia; Mytilida; Mytilidae. The record is from RNAcentral.